UACGUAGGGGGCAAGCGUUGUCCGGAAUCAUUGGGCGUAAAGCGCGUGUAGGCGGUUCGGUAAGUCUGCUGUGAAAGUCCAGUGCUCAACCCUGGGAUGCCGGUGGAUACUGUCGAACUAGAGUACGGAAGAGGCGAGUGGAAUUCCCGGUGUAGCGGUGAAAUGCGCAGAUAUCGGGAGGAACACCAAUUGCGAAGGCAGCUCGCUGGGACGUCACUGACGCUGAGACGCGAAAGCGUGGGGAGCAAACAGG
Molecule: ribosomal RNA, 253 nt
Filed under: uncultured bacterium
Lineage: Bacteria
Description: partial 16S ribosomal RNA
Rfam family: Bacterial small subunit ribosomal RNA
Source: RNAcentral